This 238-nucleotide long non-coding RNA is filed under the name Panax ginseng (ginseng). RNAcentral's name for it is "long non-coding RNA (PGIN_LNC004882)". The record is from RNAcentral. Lineage: Eukaryota; Viridiplantae; Streptophyta; Magnoliopsida; Apiales; Araliaceae.
AACAGUAUUACCUUGAAGGUAUUCAAUAAAAAUUCGGAGCGAGCAAAUGCUCACUAUUAUGAAGAUUAUGAAGAGAGUGAGAAAGAUGGCAUACUCCUUAAAGAUGGCAUACUCCUUAAAGAUGCAUUUGAUCCGGGUGGUAAAAAAUUUGAUUCUGGUUCAGGUUAUGAUCAAGAUGGUAACAAAACUUCUUCAUUAGUAAUGUUUCAUGUCCUAAGUAAUCGAGAAUUAUUCUUAG